GACGAACGCUGGCGGCGUGCUUAACACAUGCAAGUCGAACGGAAAGGCCCUGCUUUUGUGGGGUGCUCGAGUGGCGAACGGGUGUGUAACACGUGAGUAACCUGCCCUUGACUUUGGGAUAACUUCAGGAAACUGGGGCUAAUACCGGAUAGGAGCUCCUGCUGCAUGGUGGGGGUUGGAAAGUUUCGGCGGUUGGGGAUGGACUCGCGGCUUAUCAGCUUGUUGGUGGGGUAGUGGCUUACCAAGGCUUUGACGGGUAGCCGGCCUGAGAGGGUGACCGGCCACAUUGGGACUGAGAUACGGCCCAGACUCCUACGGGAGGCAGCAGUGGGGAAUAUUGCACAAUGGGCGGGAGCCUGAUGCAGCAACGCCGCGUGCGGGAUGACGGCCUUCGGGUUGUAAACCGCUUUCGCCUGUGACGAAGCGUGAGUGACGGUAAUGGGUAAAGAAGCACCGGCUAACUACGUG
RNAcentral lists this ribosomal RNA (468 nucleotides) under uncultured bacterium. Its description in RNAcentral is "partial 16S ribosomal RNA". It matches the Rfam family "Bacterial small subunit ribosomal RNA", at positions 28 to 507 of the family's 1533-position model. The record is from RNAcentral.